RNAcentral lists this ribosomal RNA (443 nucleotides) under uncultured bacterium. Its description in RNAcentral is "partial 16S ribosomal RNA". It matches the Rfam family "Bacterial small subunit ribosomal RNA", at positions 338 to 795 of the family's 1533-position model. The record is from RNAcentral.
CCUACGGGAGGCAGCAGUGGGGAAUAUUGGACAAUGGGGGCAACCCUGAUCCAGCGACGCCGCGUGAGUGAAGAAGUAUUUCGGUAUGUAAAGCUCUAUCAGCAGGGAAGAAAGAAAUGACGGUACCUGACUAAGAAGCCCCGGCUAACUACGUGCCAGCAGCCGCGGUAAUACGUAGGGGGCAAGCGUUAUCCGGAUUUACUGGGUGUAAAGGGGGCGUAGAUGGUUACGGAAGUCAGGAGUGAAAGGCGGGGGCCCAACCCCCGGACUGCUGUGGAAACUGUAUAACUGGAGUGCAGGAGAGGUAAGUGGAAUUCCUAGUGUAGCGGUGAAAUGCGUAGAUAUUAGGAGGAACACCAGUGGCGAAGGCGGCUUACUGGACUGUAACUGACGUUGAGGCACGAAAGCGUGGGGAGCAAACAGGAUUAGAUACCCGGGUAGUC